Non-coding RNA from Ictidomys tridecemlineatus (thirteen-lined ground squirrel), 1002 nucleotides. The record is from RefSeq and is a predicted model, not a curated record. NCBI's taxonomy places the organism in Eukaryota, Metazoa, Chordata, Mammalia, Rodentia, Sciuridae.
GAAACUGGAAAAUAUCAUGCUAGUGAGAUAAGCCAGUUCCGAAACACCAAAGGCCAAUAUUCUGUCUGAUAUGUGGAUGCUAACCCAUAACAAGUGUCUCCCUACCUAAUCUCUUGGGAAAUUGAACACAGGUGAGAAGACUUGGACCAAUUUGCAUGGGAGUGCCAAGAGCCUGCUGAGAGGAAAGGGGUUAUCACUGUUAAGCUUCUUCCUUUUAAAGGGCCACAGUGGGAACUCAUAUUGGGCAGAAAUACUCUUCAUAGGGUGUAGGGAAGUUCAAUGUAAAGAAGUCUUGCAAAGUGCUUAACCCAAAGAGGACAUCACAAUCCUGAUAUGAGUCAAUUAUGUUCAAUGCUGGGCUCUAUUUUUGAGCUAUUCCUUGGAGCUGUUCCUUUUCUGCUGCUGUAGAGGAAAAGGGCAAUGACCUGCAGAAACAGAAAGCAUCUUUCCAGGCCUAUGAGUGAGAACUACAGCAGUCCAAUUGCAAAACCUAAAUACAAUGGAAAUAGUAGAAUCCUGGGGUGGCUGAGGCCACAUGGCAUCACUCAACUACAAAGUCAAGUGAAAUCUCAAGGGUUCCAGUGGUAUGGAGCAUGUUGAGAUACCACUUCUAAGGAAAAAGGAAACUACUGCUGACUUCACAACUGCUCUGUGGCCCUAAGGCAGGUGAAUGGCAGGAGAUAAUGAAGAACAUUGCAAGAACUCAGUUGUCAAAGCUGAAGUAUGUCACCAGUGUCCAAGGAAAUAAAAUAAUUUUUCCUUCAAAAUCUCAUGUGACUGCCUUUUCCUUGUGGAACCCAAACUUUAUCCAGAGUUCUGCUGGCAAGAGAUUCUGAGAAAUGUAGUACCCUGCCUAGACCCUGUGAUACAAGGAUACCAAAGGUAGUGGGGAAUGGAUGCCCUCUGCCAGAGACAAUAUCCAGCACGGAAUCGUUAAGGAAAACAAAAUAACAAUUAGACUAGUUCCUUGCAAAAUGGAAGAAAAUAAAUAAGGCACAUAAU